CUGCCUGCUCGGAGCUGCUUCGGGCUGACCUUGUUUUGAAGCAGCGUGACCUUCAGUCUGCAUGUCCUUGUUCUGUGGUUCAGGAUUCCAGUGUGUAGGUUGGAGAAAUUGCACAGAUUCCAGACAGGCUUUACUGCCUCCAGAACGCCACGGACAGUGUUCUCUCCCUGCUCCUCAGAACUAGUCCCAGCUGCUGAAGGAGAAGCGCACUCUUCACUUGGUCACUGUCAAAAUCAAAUUACCGGGCAAGUAGGUGCUGAUGAGGCCUGUCACUGCACGAAGUUAACUUAAAAACAGAACAGCCUCCAGAACUCUGAGGAAUAAAUGUCUGUGGUUUAAGUCACCAAUCUGUGGAAUUUUGUUAUAGAAGACGAAGAAUGUAAGAGAGCCUUUCCCCCCAAAGGAAGA
Molecule: long non-coding RNA, 408 nt
Organism: Artibeus jamaicensis (Jamaican fruit-eating bat)
Lineage: Eukaryota; Metazoa; Chordata; Mammalia; Chiroptera; Phyllostomidae
Exons: 3
Source: RefSeq, a predicted model, not a curated record